UAGGGAAUAUUGGACAAUGGGGGCAACCCUGAUCCAGCCAUGCCGCGUGAGUGAAGAAGGCCCUCGGGUUGUAAAGCUCUUUUGUCCGGAAAGAAAAGCAUUCGGUGAAUACCCGGAUGUUCUGACGGUACCGGAAGAAUAAGCACCGGCUAACUUCGUGCCAGCAGCCGCGGUAAUACGGAGGGUGCAAGCGUUACUCGGAAUUACUGGGCGUAAAGCGUGCGUAGGUGGUUGUUUAAGUCUGAUGUGAAAGCCCUGGGCUCAACCUGGGAAUGGCAUUGGAAACUGGGCAGCUAGAGUGCGGUAGAGGGUAGUGGAAUUCCCGGUGUAGCAGUGAAAUGCGUAGAGAUCGGGAGGAACAUCUGUGGCGAAGGCGACUGCCUGGACCAGCACUGACACUGAGGCACGAAAGCGUGGGGAGCAAACA
RNAcentral lists this ribosomal RNA (427 nucleotides) under uncultured bacterium. Its description in RNAcentral is "bacterial SSU rRNA". It matches the Rfam family "Bacterial small subunit ribosomal RNA", at positions 355 to 774 of the family's 1533-position model. The record is from RNAcentral.